This 275-nucleotide ribosomal RNA is filed under the name uncultured prokaryote. Its description in RNAcentral is "partial 16S ribosomal RNA". It matches the Rfam family "Bacterial small subunit ribosomal RNA", at positions 355 to 646 of the family's 1533-position model. The record is from RNAcentral.
UGGGGAAUCUUGCACAAUGGGCGAAAGCCUGAUGCAGCGAUUCCGCGUGGAGGAUGACGCAUUACGGUGUGUAAACUCCUUUUUUGGUGGAAGACGAAUGACGGUACACCAAGAAUAAGGGCCGGCUAACUACGUGCCAGCAGCCCCGGUUAUACGUAGGUCCCAAGCGUUAUCCGGAUUUACUGGGCGUAAAGUGUCCGUAGCCGGAUAUACAAGUCUGUUUUCAAAGAUCCUGGCUCAACCAGGAAAAGGGAAUAGAUACUGUAUAUCUAGAG